GAGGUUUUCAGUCAAAUUAUAACUAAUAUCCGUAUAACUUUGCAUGAAGUGGUAGGUUUUAGCCACUUAAUUAGUUAUUUGAUCUAAUUUCAACUGAAUUUUUCAAUUUUAUACCAUUUGAAAUGGUUUUUAAUAUUCAACCAAAAGGGAAUUUAUUUUGCAUUUGACAUUCGAUUUCUAAAAUUAGUACUACUUGUUCAAAGAACCGUCAAAUUUAGAAAAAAAGCGUAUAGCGAAAUCGUGUAUAUCGAGUAUGGCGUAUAUCGGGGAAUACCUGUAUAGGAACACGAGGAAGGCGCUGCUUCGCGUUCACAUGAAAAUGUGGUAGUGUGAAAUCAAGUUUGCAAGCGGUAGGACGCGUCGGUGUGUGUCCGUUUUUUCUCUCGUGAAACCAGUACGGAAAAACUAUUUGGUAAGUACAGUUUUUAAUAAAGGGUUAUAUCAAUCUUUAUCAAACUGAAUUGUAUUGAUAAUUGUGAUAUAAAAUCAAUUUCGUUUUUUUUUAAAGAAAUCGUAACACACGCACGAACGGAAGUGAGCACGGACCACAACAGAAGCAAUAUUCAAUUGGUUGGAGUGCCGAAAACAGAACAGGAGAGGAAAGAAGGCAGGAACGAUCCGAUCCUCCAACGUGCUAGCGCCUGGUAGAGGAGAAGCGGCAGGAAGGUAGAGACGAACAUCCAGCUCGCUAGUGCAGCACGUGGGAGCAGCAAGAGGG
Molecule: long non-coding RNA, 718 nt
Organism: Anopheles coluzzii
Lineage: Eukaryota; Metazoa; Arthropoda; Insecta; Diptera; Culicidae
Exons: 2
Source: RefSeq, a predicted model, not a curated record